RNAcentral lists this ribosomal RNA (292 nucleotides) under uncultured bacterium. RNAcentral describes it as "partial 16S ribosomal RNA". It matches the Rfam family "Bacterial small subunit ribosomal RNA", at positions 505 to 796 of the family's 1533-position model. The record is from RNAcentral.
GUGUCAGCAGCCGCGGUAAUACGUAGGGCGCAAGCGUUGUCCGGAAUUAUUGGGCGUAAAGAGCUCGUAGGCGGCUUGUCGCGUCGGGUGUGAAAGCUCACGGCUUAACCGUGAGUCUGCAUCCGAUACGGGCAGGCUAGAGGCAGGUAGGGGAGAACGGAAUUCCCGGUGUAGCGGUGAAAUGCGCAGAUAUCGGGAGGAACACCGGUGGCGAAGGCGGUUCUCUGGGCCUGUACUGACGCUGAGGAGCGAAAGCGUGGGGAGCGAACAGGAUUAGAUACCCCCGUAGUCC